AUGGCGGUAGAAGACGUCGAGAAGACAGCCUUCCUAACCCCGUGUGGGGUGUACUGCUACACAUGCAUGCCAUUCGGGUUGCAUAACGCAGGGGCGACCUUCCAGUGGCUGAUGCACAUCACCUUGGGCCCGCAGCUCGGGAAGAAUGUUGAAGCUUACGUCGAUGACAUUGUGGUAAAGUCUCGGGAGGCCGGGACCUUGAUACAAGACUUGGAGGAAACCUUCGCGAGCCUCAACGCAGUGAACCUACGGCUCAACCCAGAGAAGUGUGUGUUCGGAGUCCCCUUGGGCAAGCUCUUGGGUUUCCUCAUGUCCCACCGAGGCAUCGAGGCUAACCCAGAGAAAGUCAAGGCGGUGGAAGACAUGAGCCCGCCAAAGACCCUCAGAGAAAUGCAGAAGCUCACGGGGCGCGUGACCGCGCUAGGGCGCUUCAUCUCCAAGUUGGGGGAACGAGCACUGCCCUUCUUCCAGCUAAUGAAGAAAAAGGGGCCCUUCGAGUGGACUGAAGAGGCCGACAAGGCGUUCUAG
This 528-nucleotide ribosomal RNA is filed under the name Triticum aestivum (bread wheat). Its description in RNAcentral is "partial small subunit ribosomal RNA". Lineage: Eukaryota; Viridiplantae; Streptophyta; Magnoliopsida; Poales; Poaceae. The record is from RNAcentral.